CUCUCCCCCUUCAUCAGAGUACAACGGCGCUCUCUAACUUUAUAGAAAAUGAGAGAACGCAUCCCCUAUUCCUUCAUAGAAGAACGAACACCACCCCAUCUUCUUCUCAAUUUCCUCCUCUUCUUAUCUCACUCACACGCCUAAAGACCUCAAUAGUAACUAAAAAUAUAGAACUAAGAUUUCCAAAGGGUAAAAAAUCCAGAAAAUUCGAAAGGCUGGAAAAUAUCAGAAUUUACUCUUUCAUUAAGUUUUUGCUUUGAGCUUUAAGGUUUUUGACCUAUUGAAAUCAUUUUCUGAUUCUUGUGGGGUUUCAAAUGGAUUGAAUUUUUUUUUUCAAACGUGGUUUUGAAAGUUUGAUUUGGUGGUACAUUUGGGGUUUCAAGCUUGGAAUUGGGUUUGGAUCCUGAGUUCCUGCUGUUGAUUUUCCACUACUGCUGCUGACUUUUCCCUCUUCUUACUUUCCUUACUCUCCAGGUAUUUAUUCUCGAAUCUAUAGAUGUAUUCCUCCGUUUGAAGCUGAAAUAAGAGCUGAAGCAUGAAAAUUCUUUCUGUUCCUUUUUUUUCUUUAUUUUUUCUUUACUAUUAGCCUUUGGUCUAAAUUAUCUUUUCAUAUACGGUUUGUAAUUGUGAGUAGAAAAAGUAAGAAUUCAUAGGUAAGAUUUUCAUGCAUCUCCAUACUUUGAUUAAUAUUCUAUAUAUUAGACUCCAUAUUCUUGGCUCAUUAUUGUCUCGUGCUUUAGCCUCAGGUGUUCAUGGUUAACUCUAAAAGCUGUACAUGAGAUUUGUAUUAGUUGCACUGAUUAAAUUUUGCAUCAACCAUUUUGGUUAGAAUAUGUGGUAUUUUAAUUUUUUGAUUAACAAUUUGUCUAAUCGAAUUAGUAGUCAAGUUUGUAUGCAGUCCUAUUAUUCUAUUAUUUGGUCUAUUUGAUGAAUUGGUUAUUAUACUAAUUGGAAUGUGAUAAGUCGAAUUUCCAGGAAUCUCUUUUGGCUGCAGAGGCUCGGUCUUGAGUCUCAUCCUGGGCUUUAAUGUCAUUUCAAAUUCAGCGGCCCAAAAUCAACUACUGAAUAUGGCACUAAUUUGGUUUGUAUUUUGCAUCCAGGGCAGAAAUGAAGGAAGGCUUGUAACUACAGCCUCCUUGGGCCUGUGAAUUGGGCACGUUUGUACCUCCUUAACUUUGAAACGGAUCCCCCCAUAAGUAGUUGGGUCUGCCUUAAUUCAGGGACAAUAGUUUAAAUGCCUUUGGUAUUUAGUUAAUUAGCAAGACCUUUAGAAUAAUUUUGGAGGGCCAUCUUAGAUAACACAAUAGCUCAUGGCCUUUCAAACUUUUUGUCUAAUAUCCUUUAAAAAAAUGAAGUCGAGGUGCACCACGCCAAAUAAAACCACAAAUGUGCGACCCUCUUUAUUUUUGUUUUCUUUAAAAAUUAGUUAGAAUUCGGUAUGUGCCAUUUACUAAAUUUUCAUGGCCUCCUGUAAAGUUAACUAUGCAUUAGUUGCUUUAGCCGUGUCUAUUAAUAACAUUACCUUCUUAAACCCGAGUGGGCAUUUCGUGUGACCCAAAUCCAAAUCAUAAAACGUUGAAUAAAAUGAGUUUCAAAUUGCGGGUGCAUUUCAUGUGACGCGAUCCAAAGACACAUUUUAAAUGACGUUCAAUCUUCCUUAAAAACUAAUCAAAAGUGUUAAAUAGAUUAAAAUUGUAUUAUAGGUUGAAACAUGUAUUAAAAUUAGAUAAUAGGCCAAUUAUGGUAGUUUAAGUGACCGUGCUAGAACCACGAGAUCUGGAGGUGCUGGCACCUUUCCCCGGAUCAACAAAAUUCCUUAGUCAGAAUCUCUGAUUCACAAACUUCACUUGGAAAGUCAAAAAUUUCCUGGAUUUGGGAUUCAAAAUAAACCGGUGACUUGGGCCACUAAAAGCCCAACCUAUCCCAAGUGGUGAAUCUGAUCAUUAAAUAAUCUCAUUUUGAAUAAUAUCACUUGAAAUGGAAAAAUUCCCUUAUAUGUCCUUCGGGAUGUAAAAAGGAGGUGUGACAACUCUGGCGACUCUGGUGGGGAUCCAAACUCAGAACUUCGGUUCAGGGUUUAAGAAUUCGAGCUUAGAUAGCUGUUAUGAUUGGCUUUACCUGUUAUCUGAUUUCCUAUAUAUUUGAGCCUAAUAUGCUAAAUGUUUUACAGCUUUGAUAUUUUGUGAAUUGUCUAUAAACUGCUACGAAACCCUUCAUUUCUCUGAGUUUUCUUAAUCAUCAUGGAGAAGGGUGCACUUCAUAUGACUUCUCUUAUGUUUAGAGUCUUAUCCCAUUUAGAAUGAGGUUUGGACAAGUUACAAAGACGGUGAAGCUUCUGUAUUCCCGGUACGCUGCGUCCUCUCGGCUCGAGUUGUCCGUUCGGGUAAGCCAGAUCUAGAACAAUAAACCCAGGUUUUAAACCUAGUAUAACAAAGCCUCAUGCCGGAUUCCUAGUAGGAACACUUGUUUGCAUCACGUGCAUUUGCAUUAGUAUACUCAACACCAGGGUUGGGUCUGUCUAGGACAUGUAUACACGAAAUGAAAAGACCACCCCGAUACAUCUUACGUGCUACUUGCAUAUCUAUCUGUUCAAGCCUGCAUGUUGACUGGCUUCUAGAAUAGAGGACGAAAAUUAAAAAAAAGAGUGAGAGGUAGGUAUUUAGAAUAUUCUGAAACUCUGCCGAAAUUCGGGAAAAAAAUGAAAAAAAGAAAGAAAAGUUAUGUCAAAAUUUCAAGUGCCAUAUUUUCCAUGUUCCGUCAAAUAUGAUCGAACUACACGGGGUCUGAUUCUCACCAGUUGUGAGAUAUGUAGGCAAACCUCAUUGUUUCCGACCCUAAUUUUCAAAAAUCCAAAAAAUAUUUUCCUUUAGUUACUUCUUUAAAAAAGUUUCCUUAGAUAAUUCAAAAAAAAGUAGUUUUUAAACUCAAAAAAUAGUUUCCUUCUUUUUGAUGUCUUUCAUACGAGAAAAGAAAAG
RNAcentral lists this long non-coding RNA (2975 nucleotides) under Nicotiana benthamiana. RNAcentral describes it as "long non-coding RNA (NBEN_LNC023089)". Lineage: Eukaryota; Viridiplantae; Streptophyta; Magnoliopsida; Solanales; Solanaceae. The record is from RNAcentral.